This 477-nucleotide ribosomal RNA is filed under the name Triticum aestivum (bread wheat). RNAcentral describes it as "partial small subunit ribosomal RNA". The record is from RNAcentral. Lineage: Eukaryota; Viridiplantae; Streptophyta; Magnoliopsida; Poales; Poaceae.
AUGUUUAAAACUGGCGGAUUCUCGGACUUCGUAGAAUUUCAGGGAUUUUCAGAAUAUUAUUUAAUCUUUGAAAAAUCUUAUAAAAUAAUCCGUAACUCGGAUGAAAAAGUUUUCUACAUGAAAGUUGCUCAGAACGACGAGACGAAUCGGAAUACACUCUCCGUUCAUCCAUCACGUGCCCCUAGCAUAGCGAACAUGCAACCGUCCCCCUCCUUUUCACCUGUCCGGAAAUGCCAAACUUUGGGAAAACAUUUUCGGAUGUUAUCCCCCUUCGCCGGUAUCGUGCAACACUGUGUUAGAUCACCCCUAGCUUUGGUUGUUGACUUGUCAUGCAUCUGUUUGCUCUGUAUUUACUGUUUCUUCCCCCUCUUCUCUCCGGUAGACCCCGAGACCGCUAUUGAUGCCCCUGUGAUCGACUACAUCAUCGACGACCCUUCUUCCCUUUCAGCAGAGCUUCCUGGCAAGCCCCCCCUUUGA